Molecule: ribosomal RNA, 496 nt
Filed under: uncultured bacterium
Lineage: Bacteria
Description: partial 16S ribosomal RNA
Rfam family: Bacterial small subunit ribosomal RNA
Source: RNAcentral
GACGAACGCUGGCGGCGUGCCUAAUACAUGCAAGUUGAGCGCUGAAGGUUGGUACUUGUACCAACUGGAUGAGCAGCGAACGGGUGAGUAACGCGUGGGGAAUCUGCCUUUGAGCGGGGGACAACAUUUGGAAACGAAUGUUAAUACCGCAUAAAAACUUUAAACACAAGGUUUAAGUUUGAAAGAUGCAAUUGCAUCACUCAAAGAUGAUCCCGCGUUGUAUUAGCUAGUUGGUGAGGUAAAGGCUCACCAAGGCGAUGAUACAUAGCCGACCUGAGAGGGUGAUCGGCCCAAUUGGGACUGAGGAAAGGCCCAAACUCCUACGGGAGGCAGCAGUAGGGAAUCUUCGGCAAUGGACGAAAGUCUGACCGAGCAACGCCGCGUGAGUGAAGAAGGUUUUCGGAUCGUAAAACUCUGUUGGUAGAGAAGAACGUUGGUGAGAGUGGAAAGCGCAUCAAGUGACGGUAACUACCCAGAAAGGGACGGCUAACUACGU